UCAGGUUAAACCUUUGGUAAAACAUAAAUCAAAGAUUGAAAGACACAUUUAACUUUAUUUUAUUAUCUAGUCUGACAGUCAGACACAACUGAAAAAUAGCAAAUAUGAAUCUAAAAAUGAAUAAUUGAUUUAAAAACUGCCCAAUUGCAGCCACAGUGGUUGUUUUUGGUGUGUACAGUGAAACAUAGUUUCAUUUUUCAGCUCGUACACACGUUUGUUUUCACUCUGGUCCAAACACAGCUUAACUGGCAGAGCUAAAGCUUCAUGUUUCCAUGACGACUGAUCGGAAAAAGACGCGCUUGAUGUCAUGUUUAUGUGACUCCCGAUUGUAAAAAUGAGUCUCUAAAGUAAUGCUAAACUUUAACAACAGAGGUACACAGGUUAUUUGUUGCGCUGCUCAUUUCGUUUAGUAAACGGAGCACUCCAGUUCGACUGUAGCUGCGCUAACCGAGCUAACGGAGCUAACGACGUAUCAGUCAAGUAUCAGUAUCAGAAAGUAUCAGUCUCCUUCUCGUCGCUCAAUGCUCCACUAACUAGACAAAACAGCGCUGCACGUGUGUCUACAGGGGAUUGCAUCUUUAUAAAUUGUCUUUUUUAAGAUUUGUAGAAAAUUUUAGUAUUUAAUUCAUCAUGAAUGAUCUCUCAAACAUUGAGCUUUUGUCAAUAAAAAAAAAAUGGUGCUCCAAAAGCUCUCAUUAUCAUGGAAAACUGUUUACAAGUGUUGUUGUGCGCGCGUAACGUAACAUUUACGUUACGUGACUAUCCAAUAGGUAGAUCCCUCGGCGACAGAGACGGACAGGUCAGGAAAUCCCAGGAAUCAGGAGUCUCCUCAAGGUUUACUAUUUGAGCUAGAUGGAUACCCGUUACAGCAAACGUGGUGGGAAGGCUGUGGAAAAUAAUGAAGCUAAGCCUAUGCUACAAGCUGUGGAGGAGGACUUGGCACAAUAAUUUGAAGAGGUCCCUAUUCAGCCAAAGAAAAGAAAGCCAAAGAAAUAUUCCCAGAAGAAACCAAUGUCUCCAACAGGGCCAUUGGAGUUGGCCAAACUGAAGGAACAAACCAAGAUGGAUCGACAGAAGAUUGAACACCUUGAGGAGCGCAUUAAUUACCUGGAGGAGGCCAACAGGGACCUGAAAGCUGACAAGGACUCCCUACUUUCCCAAAUUAAGGAAGCCCCCAGCAUGCCCUCAUCUACUGGGAAAGGUACAAAUGCACUACAAUUAACAUUUAUGCAGUACCAGAUGUUCAAGGAACUUGUGGAGGAGAAAUUGAAAUAGGCUGGGUUUUCAGGCACAGAGUGUAAGGAUAUAUUAUUAUAUACAAUUGUUUUUUUGUUACACACCUGAGAUGUCUAUUUUCCCAAGCCCUUCCAAAAUGUUUCCUAUAUGACCUGAUAAAUCUCUUAUGAUGGCAUUGCUACACAGAAAAUGAUAUAAACUUUUGCCCAAGCUAGUAAUGUUAGCCACUGAGAUAGAGAAGAGCCAUCAUUGUAUGCUACAGCUAAUGCUCUACUAACAUGUUAACAGACACACACUCAAACUGAUG
Molecule: long non-coding RNA, 1543 nt
Organism: Scophthalmus maximus (turbot)
Lineage: Eukaryota; Metazoa; Chordata; Actinopteri; Pleuronectiformes; Scophthalmidae
Exons: 3
Source: RefSeq, a predicted model, not a curated record